AGCUUUUUAGUGGUGGAUUGUACUUCUCUUGGUCUGUUCCUGGUUAUCAGGAGGGAAAUUGAUUAGUAAUCUUGCUGUGACUUUGACAGUGUAUAAUCGGGAUUUAACUGCUAACAAGAACUCAGUUUCUCAUCUGUGGUCCUUCCCAAUCAGCAAAUCUAGUUGUGAAAGUAAACUAGAGUAAUCUGGGAUAAGAAUGGGGAAGCAAAUGAACGGCUUCGAAUUUGCUUGCUGAAUGACUUUUUUUCCUGCAUAGCAAUAUUUGGGCAGAACUGUACAGCCAUUCACUUAAACCAGAAUUCUUUGGUUUUUUGUCUAAACUAUUUGCGACACAGAAUACUGAACUAGUUUUUCCCCACUGUAUAUUGAUUUACCACGGGUGAGAUAGAUCUACAACCUCAAACAGGGACAGUACAAUUCUAAAUUGUCUUAUCCACUGCUCUGCUACUCUUAGUUGCUCUUAAAUUCCUCAGCAGAUCAGACAUACUGACCAAAAGCUUAGCUUCACCACUGCCAUCUUUACUUUCAAUUGAGAACUUGCUUUGUAUAAAAAUCCACCUGUUCCUGCAAGUCUAUUUCUAAGGAAAUGGAAGUUACUUCUAACACAGCUCCAACAGGCUAGCUGGAGGGACAGAGCGUACAGGAAGGAUAGAGAUUAAUGCUCCCAGGCAACCAGAAGUCUCAUCUUCCUUUUGUGGUGUGGACUGUGCAGCAGUCACUCAGCCCCCAGUACCGGACACACGACAAGCUAUGGGAGAGGACCAGUGAAGAUAUCCCUGUUACAGGAAUGUGUUUGUGUAAUUUUCUCUUCUGGGAGCUUUACGACUUCUGAAACAUCUGUUACUGGGUACAGUUGGCAAUGAGGAAUGACAUUAGAUGGGCAGUUAGCCUGACCUAAUGUGUCAAGGCUUAUUACGUUCAUAAAAAUACUAAGCUUGUCACAAUCCAGCAUAUGGGUGGUCAUGUGCAACAUGAUGUGCAUAUUAUGCAAGAAUUGCAUGAAGUUGAGCUUCUUCAGAGCUGACUAGGUUUUCAGGGAAUGAAGGAGAAAAAGCAAGUCAUUUCUAGCAGUCUGAUAAAGUGGUUUUU
Long non-coding RNA from Gallus gallus (chicken), 1089 nucleotides. Lineage: Eukaryota; Metazoa; Chordata; Aves; Galliformes; Phasianidae. The record is from Ensembl.